GAUGAAGAACGCAGCUAAAUGCGAUACGUAAUGUGAAUUGCAGAAUUCAGUGAAUCAUCGAAUCUUUGAACGCAUAUUGCGCUCUCUGGUAUUCCGGAGAGCAUGCUUGUUUGAGUAUCAGUAAACACCUCAACUCCCUUUUCUUUUUUGAAAUUGGAGCUGGACUUGAGUGAUCCCAACGCUUUCUUCCAAGAAAGUGGCGGGUUGCUUGAAAUGCAGGUGCAGCUGAACUUUUCUCUGAGCUAUAAGCAUAUCUAUUUAGUCUGCCUAAAAAACAGAUUAUUACCUUUGCUGCAGCUAACAUAAAGGAGACUAGUUCUUGUGCUGACUGAUGCAGGAUUCACAGAGACAGCUUCGGCUGACUUUGUAAACUCGAUCUCAAAUCAAGUAAGACUACCCGCUGAACUUAAGCAUAUCAAUAAGCGGAGGA
RNAcentral lists this unclassified non-coding RNA (430 nucleotides) under soil metagenome. RNAcentral's name for it is "partial contains 5.8S ribosomal RNA, internal transcribed spacer 2, and large subunit ribosomal RNA". The stretch from base 1 to 120 matches the Rfam family "5.8S ribosomal RNA", at positions 35 to 154 of the family's 154-position model. The record is from RNAcentral.